Molecule: long non-coding RNA, 1896 nt
Organism: Odocoileus virginianus texanus
Lineage: Eukaryota; Metazoa; Chordata; Mammalia; Artiodactyla; Cervidae
Source: RefSeq, a predicted model, not a curated record
CUGGCCUACCUCCCACAGUUAGCCAUUUCCACUUUGUACCCGCUACUACCCUACAAUCACUACUCUUUGUUCUCCUGUCAUUCCUACUCUGCCAGUUCUCAACAGGCAUCGACUUUCCACUGUUUGCUUUCUUGGCUCCUACUCCUGGUCUGCCAAGCAAUCCUGGGGAGACCUGUGAAACCACACUGGUGAACCCGCUACAAAUGCAUGCCUCCAGACCUCAGCUGGGUGCUCAUGGCAAUUCAACUACUUCUGACUCAGCUCGUGCUGAGUCCUCUUGACAUUUCCUACAACAACUGUUUUGAGCCUUUUCUACCUCCUUCUAAGCCCUUGACCCUGUCCUUCACCUUCAGGGAGUAACGGGGUUCUUGUUUGGAAUCAUGGCACUCCUUCUGAAGUUCUCUCCUUUCAAAAUGGAUGUUAUUCAAAAUCCACUCUACCUCCCUCUUCCGUCAUCCCUGCUUCUGAGGAAGCAUUUCUGUUUUCUAAGGUUAUAUCUUCAAUAUGUGCUAUUGAUUCCAUCUUCUUGCACAACUUCCAGGUCCUGAGAUGGGCAGUUACUUUGCUUCAUGUUGGCAUCACUAUGACUCUACAAGUUCCUACCUCUUGUUCCCAAAACAUGUUCAGGGCUCCAGAGUAAAAGGGGGAAAAAAUUUAAUUCUGAUCCUUUACAAUCAUCAUCUUUUUAUUUCUCUACUUACUCUUUCUUAAAAAGGGACAUCUAGGAUCAACUUUCCACUAUUCAUAUUCUCUUACUCCUCAAAGCCACCAUUUUCUAUCUUUUUGAGUACUUUCCAGGUCUUCUGAAGUACUGAAUUAUUCUAAGUUACUUCUCUUUUUGAACAACAACAAAAAACUCUCCUUCUCAGGUUUCCAUGAUGCUGCACCGCCUAGAGUCAUCCACUAACCCUCUCUAGUUCCACACCCAGACUCCUCUUUCUCCUAUGGAAUGCAGACUUUCCUCAGUAUUCUGUAUAAAUAUUCUCUUGGUGAGCUUAUGUAUCCCCCUGGCUUAAAUGUUCUUCCAUAAAGCAGUAUUUAUGAGAUGACUUUAAGUGGAACAUGAGCUGCCACUUUUUUUAUUUGGAUACUUUGUUUAAUCUAACCUUGGACAGCAUCAAUUGUAAGAGGCGCCAUUUAAAAUAUAUAACUUAGAAAAUGGCCACUAAUUAAAUUACAAUACAAUGCUUUCUUAUCACUUAACAUUUUAAUCUCAUACUCAUACAAAAGGAUCUUUUAGAUUUCUCACAUGGAGAGAUUUUUUUUUUUUUAAUAUACAUCACUCUUGUGCACACACUGAGGCAAUAUAAGCAAAACAAACAGGUGAAGAUUUACCUAAAGUUUUCUCACCAUCAUGUUUAACUCUUCUGAACCACUUUCCAGCUCAGAGUCAUGGAUAUCCUAGGAGCCAUCAGGAGCACGGGGGCUGAGACAUUUCUCAUGUGUCUUCAACUACUUCCGACUGGAACUCUCUUCCACAGUGUUGAUACUCAUUCUGCCAGCCUCCAGCAGAAACCAGGAAGGAGGGACGUGAAAAAAUUCUAAGGCAGACAGUAACUUCAAAGAGACAAAAUGUGCUGACUUCCUUUAUUGACACCAGAAGUUGAAGGCAUCUAAUGAACCUAUGUGAGUUUUACCUCUUGAGUACACCUGCUCCAUGGAAGAGAAGCGCAGAGAAGAGGUGGUCAAAGGAGAGUUACAGGAAGCAGGAGGGAAAGCAUGAAGCCUUGACAAUCCCCAAACUGAAUAAACAAUACAAGCUCGCAAGUCGAAUGGUCAAUGUAAACACAGUCAAUGAAACAUCAGGACUGGAAAACAAGUCUACUGAGAGAACCUAUGGAAAGACCAUUUGGUCAGUUGCCAAGAAUGCAAUGAAGCUACAGCACUGAAAGGCUA